This 478-nucleotide ribosomal RNA is filed under the name uncultured archaeon. Its description in RNAcentral is "bacterial SSU rRNA". It matches the Rfam family "Archaeal small subunit ribosomal RNA", at positions 861 to 1336 of the family's 1478-position model. The record is from RNAcentral.
GAAUAUGGCGGGGGAGCNCCNCAAGGGGUGAAGCCUGCGGUUCAAUUGGAGUCAACGCCAGGAAUCUUACCCGGGGAGACAGCAGGAAUGAAGGUCAAGCUGAAGACUUUACCAGACAAGCUGAGAGGAGGUGCAUGGCCGUCGCCAGCUCGUGCCGUGAGGUGUCCUGUUAAGUCAGGUAACGAGCGAGAUCCCUGCCCUUAGUUGCUGCAGUUACUCUCAGGAGUAGCUGGGCUAACUAAGGGGACCGCCACUGCUGAAGUGGAGGAAGGAGGGGGCCACGGCAGGUCAGUAUGCCCCGAAACCCUGGGGCUACACGCGGGCUGCAAUGAUAGAGACAACGGGUUCCGAACUCGAAAGAGGGAGGCAAUCCUUAAACUCUAUCUCAGUUAUGAUUGAGGGCUGCAACUCGCCCUCAUGAAUAUGGAAUCCCUAGUAACCGCGCGUCAUAACCGCGCANNGAAUACNUCCCUGCUCC